UAUUAUGUACAUACCUACAACAUAGUGUUAAUGCGUCAGAUAUCAUUAGAACUAUGCAUUUAAAUUCCCUUGGGCUAAAGUACUACUAGGAUGGGUGACCUCCAAGGAAUUCCUAGUAUUUUACAUGC
Molecule: non-coding RNA, 128 nt
Organism: Picea glauca (white spruce)
Lineage: Eukaryota; Viridiplantae; Streptophyta; Pinopsida; Pinales; Pinaceae
Source: Rfam